This is a long non-coding RNA of Sciurus carolinensis (gray squirrel), 702 nucleotides long. RefSeq lists it as uncharacterized. The transcript is spliced from 3 exons. Lineage: Eukaryota; Metazoa; Chordata; Mammalia; Rodentia; Sciuridae. The record is from RefSeq and is a predicted model, not a curated record.
CUCCACUUGACAGUGGCGGUCGCCGGGCAGCCGAGCCCGGGCGCAGCGAGCGGAGCGCGGCGCAGGGAACGCGAUCUGCGCGGACGGCUGUGGCAGCGCCCUGCUCCCACAGCUCGGAUUCUCCGCCCAGCGAAGUAGCCUCCAGCGGCGGCGGCGGCGUCCGGGCGAUGCUGCGGGACCCCUUGGGCACCGGUGUCCUGGCCUCUUCCUAAGAACGAAGAACAAACUAAAUUCAUCUCAAAAUGAUUAUAAAUCAUCCAGACGGAGCAGCCUGCCACCCGAACUACUCAUAGGAAAUGACAUUAGAGGAAGACUUCAAAGAAACAUUAAGAACUUGGAACCCUUUCACCUGAGGCGCCCCAAAAAGAGACCGUCCAUAUUUCCAGGAAGUACAAUGGGUGGAUAAUAUAUUCGGGUUGAAGAAAUGCAAAAUAUAAGUAUGGAGCCCUGAGACUUUGACUAAAUUCUUUGAAUGAGAACAGAUAUUUUGUGGAUCUUUUUUUAUGACAAGUACCUAGCUCAUUCAUCAAUAGAAGUAAAAUCAGAUGAAUAAAAUUACAACAUUGCAAAGAAUCUUCAAGGAGCCUAACUAUGUGCCCUCUGCAAGAGACUUCUCAAUGACAUUCACAGCUUCUACUUACAUGCUUCCAUGAUGGGAAACUCACUACCCCUAAAGGAAAUUAACCCACUCAGAACAUUUAU